AUACGGAGGGUGCAAGCGUUAAUCGGAAUUACUGGGCGUAAAGCGCUCGUAGGCGGCUUGUUAAGUCGGAUGUGAAAGCCCCGGGCUCAACCUGGGAACUGCAUUCGAUACUGGCAGGCUAGAGUAUAGUAGAGGCAAGUGGAAUUCCGGGUGUAGCGGUGAAAUGCGUAGAUAUCCGGAGGAACAUCAGUGGCGAAGGCGACUUGCUGGACUAAUACUGACGCUGAGGAGCGAAAGCGUGGGGAGCAAACGGGAUUAGAUACCCCAGUAGUCC
RNAcentral lists this ribosomal RNA (274 nucleotides) under uncultured bacterium. RNAcentral's name for it is "partial 16S ribosomal RNA". It matches the Rfam family "Bacterial small subunit ribosomal RNA", at positions 523 to 796 of the family's 1533-position model. The record is from RNAcentral.